Molecule: long non-coding RNA, 1915 nt
Organism: Acinonyx jubatus (cheetah)
Lineage: Eukaryota; Metazoa; Chordata; Mammalia; Carnivora; Felidae
Exons: 2
Source: RefSeq, a predicted model, not a curated record
AACAGAUUUUGAAUCUUAACGUUCUCUUAAAGAACUAGAAGACCUACCAACACAGUGUGUUUAUAACCCUCUGCGGAAGUGAAGAAUGGCAUGAACCGUUUAUUACGUGCACAGCAGUGCAUCUCUCUCCUGGCACUGCUGAACCCCUCAGAAAACAUUAGAGUCUCUGCCCCCAUCGAGGGGAGUGUGGGGCUCUUCUCAAUGAGUUCCUCUUCCCUGGGGUGGGAUAAACUGCCUCCCUCCCGGGCGGGUCCUUCUGCAAAGGGCUGGGGCAGGUGGGCUCCCGCUCCUCCAGAAUGUACCUCACACCUCAUGAAGUAAUUGAUACAUCAUGCGAAUCAAGCCAACAAAUCCGUCCACCCUCUGCCCCCAGGGUGCCUCCCUUGCUGUGAGGGGUGCCAGAGUGGCUGGGGGGACAGCAGGGCUGCAGAACAGUGGGGGGAAGGCCUGCCUGCAGCCUCCUCUCAUGUCACUCGCCUAUGGGCUCCAUCGAUGAGACGCGAGGCAGCUGCUCAGGUCACUCUGGUAAUCGGAGCGUGCUGAGUGCGAGAAUCACUCCCUGCAAGAGCUAAAAGCCGAGAACAGUGAGGGACCGAGCAUGAGCGCGCUGGCACUUCUGAGACAGCUCGAGGCUGUGGAGAGCCUGCUAAAAAUAGCCCGCUCCCAGCUGAGGCUGGAACCCUGGAAAAUCCUGCUCUGGAGGGGUGGCUGGGGCAACCCCUCCUGUGUCCCUGUGUCCCUGCCGCCCUGCUGGUGGGGUGGGGCUGGCGAGGCUGGCAAGGGCCCGCCUGCUGGGAGCCUCUUCCCCUGCCCUGGGAAGACUGUGAGGAGACAGAGCUGUGACUUGACGGCCCCUGUCUGACGGUAGUUGAGGUGGGAGGCCCAGACCUGUCUCCCCGACCCUCACGCUGUUAGGGUAAGUGAGGAAUUCCCCUCUCUGAGACCAGGCACCAGGACAGGCUUCUGUCCUGGGUGGGCUAGGGGAGAUCAGUAAGGAGCUCCCCUGCCCAGCUGGGCGUUCAUGUUCCACAGCCCCCACUGAGACCCCUCAUCAGGCUACUGACUCCAGCCGUCUUCUGCUUUGCCUGAACAUGGCCUGUUCUUGGACCCCUGCUUCUCAGCCUAUUCAAACCCUCCCUACCUGAGGACUUCUCAUGAAUGUCUUCCCUCCUCCAGAAAGCCCCUCUGACCCUUUUGCUCAAGCCUCUCCUCCAGGCUCAUUCCUCUCCCCCUGCCAUCCAGUGUCCUGGACUUCCCUUCCCACUCGUGCAGCUCCAGAUGCCGGGGCACCUUGAGCAAACCCCUGUCUCUCUCUGGGCCUCUGAGGAAUCAAGGUCUAGAGCAGGCUGUGAGGCCCAGUUGGCUGGAGCCAAUCAUAUACCUUAUUGUGAUGUCCAUAAGUGUCACCAGACCCCACAUGAAGUCCUAGAUGGGGAGGAGAUUAUGAGAUGUGGGCAUGACCACUAGUCUAGGCCCCUGUCAAAUGACUGGCCAUCCAAUCUCCACUCACAUGCUUCCUGGGGAGGGGCCCUCACUAUCUCCUGAGGCAGCCUCUUCCCCUGUCUCCUCUGCAGGGUCCUGCCUCUGCCACAAGUUCCUUGGGGGGAGGGCUCUGGCACAGAGGAGGCCUCAGAGGACAAUCCCUGAAGCGGGGACCAAUCCAUGCUAGGGCAGGACUGCAAGGGAUGGGGAAAUGGAGGUUAGAGGUCCUGGGUCCCACCCAAGGUUGCCAACUCGAUGCGUUUCCUCAGCCUCAGAUGGAGCUGAGGGGGGAGGCAGAGGAGAGACCAGGGGGGACAGUAGGGUUUAGUACUGAGGAAGCUUUUCAGUCACCCUUUGGAGCUCCCCUCUACCAGCUAGAUGGGAUGCAGACUGAUUCAUGAAUCAAUGAAUAAAGCCAAUUAGAUCUUUAAAA